CCCCGCGUAGGGUAGCAAACCGGACGUGCGUCUGGUUGACCUCCCUAGCUUUCCUUCCUUCUUUUCCUCCUCCUCCUCAGCGGCGGUGCUGGCUUGGCAAACUUUCUGUAAUGCAGUUUCUGAGAGAAGGCGGUGUUGCCACGUAGUCUAUUUAUCGUGAUUUGCUGUCAGUGCACGUGCAGGGCGCGUGCCAAAGCGAUGCCGACGCCGUUAACUCCUUCUCGUUAACGCCAAUGCAUGGGCGGCGCGUUUUUCUUUGUGCCUAUGUUGGUUAAGCAGCGAGAGCAAUGAAUCAGCUUUGCGGUGGCAUGGAGUACAACACCCAUCGGUACAGAAGGACGUGCGCUGACUUAAUUGAUAAGACCACAACAGCGUAAUCAUCUAUGACCUGUACGCAACAGUCAGUGCCCGCCUGCGCGCCGGAGUCACUUUCAGCGACUACGCUGUUUUUUUUUUUUUUUUCUUCAUGACAACUACCUUGAAGACCAAAAAUAAGCGAGCACACCGUGAAGUGUGGUCGAAAACACCUGCACUUGAAUAAUCCGCAGUCAUGGCCGGGUGUAAAGAGGAAAGACAUGGCAACCGAAGAACGAGGAUAGAGGGACAGAUGUACACGGGGAAAGUAAAGCCAGGGCGUUCGUAUAGAACGGA
This 651-nucleotide long non-coding RNA is filed under the name Dermacentor andersoni. RNAcentral's name for it is "uncharacterized LOC126522931". Lineage: Eukaryota; Metazoa; Arthropoda; Arachnida; Ixodida; Ixodidae. The record is from RNAcentral.